This 253-nucleotide ribosomal RNA is filed under the name uncultured bacterium. RNAcentral's name for it is "partial 16S ribosomal RNA". It matches the Rfam family "Bacterial small subunit ribosomal RNA", at positions 524 to 776 of the family's 1533-position model. The record is from RNAcentral.
UACGGAGGAUCCAAGCGUUAUCCGGAAUCAUUGGGUUUAAAGGGUCCGUAGGCGGUUUGGUAAGUCAGUGGUGAAAGCCCAUCGCUCAACGGUGGAACGGCCAUUGAUACUGCCAGACUUGAAUUAUUAGGAAGUAACUAGAAUAUGUAGUGUAGCGGUGAAAUGCUUAGAGAUUACAUGGAAUACCAAUUGCGAAGGCAGGUUACUACUAAUGGAUUGACGCUGAUGGACGAAAGCGUGGGGAGCAAAAGGG